GAUGAAGAACGCAGUGAAAUGCGAUAAGUAAUGUGAAUUGCAGAAUUCAGUGAAUCAUCGAGUCUUUGAACGCACAUUGCGCCCCCUGGUAUUCCGGGGGGCAUGCCUGUCCGAGCGUCAUUGCUGCCCUCAAGCACGGCUUGUGUGUUGGGCCCCGCCCCCCGGCUCCCGGGGGGCGGGCCCGAAAGGCAGCGGCGGCACCGCGUCCGGUCCUCGAGCGUAUGGGGCUUCGUCACCCGCUCCGUAGGCCCGGCCGGCGCCCGCCGGACCCCCCUCAAUCUUUUCAGGUUGACCUCGGAUCAGGUAGGGAUACCCGCUGAACUUAAGCAUAUCAAUAAGCGGAGGA
This 346-nucleotide unclassified non-coding RNA is filed under the name soil metagenome. RNAcentral's name for it is "partial contains 5.8S ribosomal RNA, internal transcribed spacer 2, and large subunit ribosomal RNA". The stretch from base 1 to 120 matches the Rfam family "5.8S ribosomal RNA", at positions 35 to 154 of the family's 154-position model. The record is from RNAcentral.